GUGGGGAAUUUUGGACAAUGGGCGAAAGCCUGAUCCAGCCAUGCCGCGUGCAGGAUGAAGGCCUUCGGGUUGUAAACUGCUUUUGUACGGAACGAAAAGACUCCUUCUAAUAAAGGGGGUCCAUGACGGUACCGUAAGAAUAAGCACCGGCUAACUACGUGCCAGCAGCCGCGGUAAUACGUAGGGUGCAAGCGUUAAUCGGAAUUACUGGGCGUAAAGCGUGCGCAGGCGGUUAUAUAAGACAGAUGUGAAAUCCCCGGGCUCAACCUGGGAACUGCAUUUGUGACUGUAUAGCUAGAGUACGGUAGAGGGGGAUGGAAUUCCGCGUGUAGCAGUGAAAUGCGUAGAUAUGCGGAGGAGCACCGAUGGCGAAGGCAAUCCCCUGGACCUGUACUGACGCUCAUGCACGAAAGCGUGGGGAGCAAACAGGAUUAGAAACCCCGGUAGUCC
This 450-nucleotide ribosomal RNA is filed under the name uncultured bacterium. RNAcentral describes it as "partial 16S ribosomal RNA". It matches the Rfam family "Bacterial small subunit ribosomal RNA", at positions 354 to 796 of the family's 1533-position model. The record is from RNAcentral.